GAUGAACCCCUUUGGCGUGCCUAAUACAUGCAAGUCGAGCGAACAGAUAAGGAGCUUGCUCCUUUGACGUUAGCGGCGGACGGGUGAGUAACACGUGGGUAACCUACCUAUAAGACUGGGAUAACUUCGGGAAACCGGAGCUAAUACCGGAUAAUAUUUCGAACCGCAUGGUUCGAUAGUGAAAGAUGGUUUUGCUAUCACUUAUAGAUGGACCCGCGCCGUAUUAGCUAGUUGGUAAGGUAACGGCUUACCAAGGCGACGAUACGUAGCCGACCUGAGAGGGUGAUCGGCCACACUGGAACUGAGACACGGUCCAGACUCCUACGGGAGGCAGCAGUAGGGAAUCUUCCGCAAUGGGCGAAAGCCUGACGGAGCAACGCCGCGUGAGUGAUGAAGGUCUUCGGAUCGUAAAACUCUGUUAUUAGGGAAGAACAUACGUGUAAGUAACUGUGCACGUCUUGACGGUACCUAAUCAGAAAGCCACGGCUAACUACGUGCCAGCAGCCGCGGUAAUACGUAGGUGGCAAGCGUUAUCCGGAAUUAUUGGGCGUAAAGCGCGCGUAGGCGGUUUUUUAAGUCUGAUGUGAAAGCCCACGGCUCAACCGUGGAGGGUCAUUGGAAACUGGAAAACUUGAGUGCAGAAGAGGAAAGUGGAAUUCCAUGUGUAGCGGUGAAAUGCGCAGAGAUAUGGAGGAACACCAGUGGCGAAGGCGACUUUCUGGUCUGUAACUGACGCUGAUGUGCGAAAGCGUGGGGAUCAGACAGGAUUAGAUACCCUGGUAGUCCACGCCGUAAACGAUGAGUGCUAAGUGUUAGGGGGUUUCCGCCCCUUAGUGCUGCAGCUAACGCAUUAAGCACUCCGCCUGGGGAGUACGACCGCAAGGUUGAAACUCAAAGGAAUUGACGGGGACCCGCACAAGCGGUGGAGCAUGUGGUUUAAUUCGAAGCAACGCGAAGAACCUUACCAAAUCUUGACAUCCUUUGACAACUCUAGAGAUAGAGCUUUCCCCUUCGGGGGACAAAGUGACAGGUGGUGCAUGGUUGUCGUCAGCUCGUGUCGUGAGAUGUUGGGUUAAGUCCCGCAACGAGCGCAACCCUUAAGCUUAGUUGCCAUCAUUAAGUUGGGCACUCUAAGUUGACUGCCGGUGACAAACCGGAGGAAGGUGGGGAUGACGUCAAAUCAUCAUGCCCCUUAUGAUUUGGGCUACACACGUGCUACAAUGGACAAUACAAAGGGUAGCGAAACCGCGAGGUCAAGCAAAUCCCGUAAAGUUGUUCUCAGUUCGGAUUGUAGUCUGCAACUCGACUACAUGAAGCUGGAAUCGCUAGUAAUCGUAGAUCAGCAUGCUACGGUGAAUACGUUCCCGGGUCU
Molecule: ribosomal RNA, 1372 nt
Filed under: uncultured bacterium
Lineage: Bacteria
Description: bacterial SSU rRNA
Rfam family: Bacterial small subunit ribosomal RNA
Source: RNAcentral